Molecule: unclassified non-coding RNA, 184 nt
Filed under: uncultured Mortierella
Lineage: Eukaryota; Fungi; Mortierellomycota; Mortierellomycetes; Mortierellales; Mortierellaceae
Description: sequence contains ITS1
Source: RNAcentral
UAAUUGAGUGUUUUAUGGCACUCUUUAAAAAAUCCAUAUCCACCUUGUGUGCAACGUUUUUAGACACCCUGGCAUUGAUAUCUCUUUUAGGGAAGGAAAGCCAGGAUGUUUGAUUAACUUAACUCAACUCCUUUAAAACAGUUUGUCUGAAUACAUAUUUCUGAAUAAACAUAAUUCAAAAAUA